RNAcentral lists this long non-coding RNA (304 nucleotides) under Panax ginseng (ginseng). RNAcentral's name for it is "long non-coding RNA (PGIN_LNC000039)". The record is from RNAcentral. Lineage: Eukaryota; Viridiplantae; Streptophyta; Magnoliopsida; Apiales; Araliaceae.
CUCAACCAUCCGCAAACCUCGUAUUCUCAGAGCCCUGUCUCAACCAUUCGCGAUUCUCUUAUUCUUAGAACCCCUUUCCCCUAUUCUCUCUCAAAUCCCUUUUCCCCGAUUCUCAUUCAAAGCGCAAAGCUGAAGCUCUAGUUUAGAAAUCACCGGGCAUCAACUAGAAUAGAACCAGAACUAGAAUUCUCUCAAAGCCCCUUUCAAUCGCCGGUUUGAAGCUAGGGUUUGCAAAUCGUAAGGUCAGUGAGGUCCUCUCCUAAAGGUCCUUCAACUAUGACCAGUAGGAUGAUUUGCAUAUCUG